This 466-nucleotide ribosomal RNA is filed under the name uncultured bacterium. RNAcentral's name for it is "partial 16S ribosomal RNA". It matches the Rfam family "Bacterial small subunit ribosomal RNA", at positions 28 to 507 of the family's 1533-position model. The record is from RNAcentral.
GAUGAACGCUGGCGGCGUGCUUAACACAUGCAAGUCGAACGGCAAGGCCCAAGCUUGCUUGGGUACUCGAGUGGCGAACGGGUGCGUAACACGUGGGUGAUCUGCCCUGCACUUCGGGAUAAGCCUGGGAAACUGGGUCUAAUACCGGAUAGGACCACAUUUUGGAUGGUGUGGUGGAAAGUUUUUCGGUGUGGGAUGAGCUCGCGGCCUAUCAGCUUGUUGGUGGGGUAAUGGCCUACCACGGCGUCGACGGGUAGCCGGCCUGAGAGGGUGUACGGCCACAUUGGGACUGAGAGACGGCCCAGACGCCGACGGGAGGCAGCAGUGGGGAAUAUUGCACAAGGGGCGCAAGCCUGAUGCAGCGACGCCGCGUGGGGGAUGACGGCCUUCGUGUUGAAGAAUACUUGCGCUAGGGACGAAGCGUUAUGUGACGGUACCUGGAGAAGAAGCACCGGCUAACUACGUG